UAAGACAGAGGGGGCAAGCGUUGCUCGGAAUCACUGGGCGUAAAGGGCGCGUAGGCGGGAUGGCAAGUCGGUCGUGAAAUCCUUCGGCUCAACCGAAGAACGUCGGCCGAUACUGCCGUUCUUGAGGGAUGCAGAGGAGAUUGGAAUUCCCGGUGUAGCGGUGAAAUGUGUAGAGAUCGGGAGGAACACCGGUGGCGAAGGCGGGUCUCUGGGCAUCUCCUGACGCUGAGGCGCGAAAGCGUGGGGAGCAAACGGGAUUAGAUACCCCGGUAGUCCACGCUGUAAACGAUGACGACUAGGUGUGGGGGGGGUUAGUCCUUUCCGUGCCGCAGCUAACGCAUUAAGUCGUCCGCCUGGGGAGUACGGCCGCAAGGUU
This 376-nucleotide ribosomal RNA is filed under the name uncultured bacterium. Its description in RNAcentral is "bacterial SSU rRNA". It matches the Rfam family "Bacterial small subunit ribosomal RNA", at positions 521 to 895 of the family's 1533-position model. The record is from RNAcentral.